ACGCACGCUGGCGGCGUGCUUAACACAUGCAAGUCGAACGGAAAGGCCCUGCUUUUGUGGGGUGCUCGAGUGGCGAACGGGUGAGUAACACGUGAGUAACCUGCCCUUGACUUUGGGAUAACUUCAGGAAACUGGGGCUAAUACCGGAUAGGAGCUCCUGCUGCAUGGUGGGGGUUGGAAAGUUUCGGCGGUUGGGGAUGGACUCGCGGCUUAUCAGCUUGUUGGUGGGGUAGUGGCUUACCAAGGCUUUGACGGGUAGCCGGCCUGAGAGGGUGACCGGCCACAUUGGGACUGAGAUACCGCCCAGACUCCUACGGGGGGCAGCAGUUGGGAAUAUUGCACAAUGGGCGGAAGCCUGAUGCAGCAACGCCGCGUGCGGGAUGACGGCCUUCGGGUUGUAAACCGCUUUCGCCUGUGACGAAGCGUGAGUGACGGUAAUGGGUAAAGAAGCACCGGCUAACUACGUG
This 467-nucleotide ribosomal RNA is filed under the name uncultured bacterium. Its description in RNAcentral is "partial 16S ribosomal RNA". It matches the Rfam family "Bacterial small subunit ribosomal RNA", at positions 29 to 507 of the family's 1533-position model. The record is from RNAcentral.